UUGAUCACCAGCGGAGUAUCAAUACUCCAGCAUCUAUCUAUCUGCUUAUCCAUCUAUCUGUCAAGGAAACCCUCCGGGUGAAACUGAAGACCUCUCCAUGAGAUUCAUAAGGUACUUCACAUGAUGGACAAACAGGCAAUGAUAAACCCGUGUCAGUGAGGCGGCGUCUAUCUCAUUGGAGGCCAAGUUUCUUCCUGCUCCUCCUUCUCCUCCUCCCUUAUUUGCAGAGGACACUUGCAUCUUGUCAAUACGCACUCCGCUUUAAACCCAAUCAGCAGGUUCGCUCUGAUAUCCCUUCAUAUUCCUGUCCGCGGAUGAAAACACGAUUACUUACGCCGCUCCAUUCCUUGCUCUCUUUUGAACAGACUCCCACCACCAUAGCUACAGCCCCCAAAGCUUCUUUUUUGCCCUUGUGCUUAUAUUUUAAAAAGUACACCGACAUUCCCAACACCCCUACAAUGUCGCAAGGUACCAAAGCCAUGGACCCUGUUCCGAACUCUAAUCCAAAUGCAAAUACAACUCCAUCCCUCUUCUCUCCAGCGUCCGUCCUCUGGGCACACCAACUCCGACGCGAACACAACACCCUCGUCUCCCGCCUCGACGCGCUCGAAGAGACUCUGGCAUCCUCUUCUGCUAAGGCAAUCACAACGACGGAAGAAUUGAAGUCGGAUAUCGAGACGAGGGUGAAGGAGGUUGGUGAUGUACUUGGUGUGACUCAGGGCGAGGUUGAGAUGAUUAAAGGGAGUAUUGAAGAGUUGAACGGGUGGAAGGAAGAUUUUGAACAG
RNAcentral lists this small RNA (785 nucleotides) under Histoplasma ohiense. RNAcentral describes it as "hypothetical lncRNA". Lineage: Eukaryota; Fungi; Ascomycota; Eurotiomycetes; Onygenales; Ajellomycetaceae. The record is from RNAcentral.